Molecule: transfer RNA, 87 nt
Filed under: Patiria miniata (bat star)
Lineage: Eukaryota; Metazoa; Echinodermata; Asteroidea; Valvatida; Asterinidae
Description: tRNA-Sec
Rfam family: Selenocysteine transfer RNA
Source: RNAcentral
GCCCGGAUGAGCCUCACUGGUGUGGGGUGCAGACUUCAAAUCUGUAGCCGAUUAGCGUCGGAGUGGUUCAAUUCCACCUUUCGGGCG